UAACAGGAUUCCCCUAGUAACUGCGAGUGAAGCGGGAAGAGCUCAAAUUUAAAAUCUGGCGGUCUUUUGGCUGUCCGAGUUGUAAUCUGGAGAAGCGUUUUCUGUGUUAGACCGUGUACAAGUCUCCUGGAACGGAGCGUCAUAGAGGGUGAGAAUCCCGUCCAUGACACGGACAACUAAUACUUUGUGAUACGCUCUCGAAGAGUCGAGUUGUUUGGGAAUGCAGCUCAAAAUGGGUGGUAAAUUCCAUCUAAAGCUAAAUACAGGCGAGAGACCGAUAGCGAACAAGUACCGUGAGGGAAAGAUGAAAAGCACUUUGGAAAGAGAGUUAAACAGUACGUGAAAUUGUUGAAAGGGAAACGCUUGAAGUCAGUCGCGUUGUGCAGAACUCAGCCUUGCCUCGGCUUGGUGUACUUUCUGCACAACGGGUCAACAUCAAUUUUGGCCCAUGGAGAAAGGUGGGGGGAAUGUAGCGCUGUUUCGGCAGCGUGUUAUAGCCCCCUGCUGUAUACAUGGGCUGGGAUUGAGGAACGCAGCACGCCCUUGUGGCCGGGGGUUCACCCCACGUACCGUGCUUAGGAUGUUGGCAGAAUGGCUUUAAGCGACCCGUCUUGAAACACGGACCAAGGAGUCUAACAUGCUUGCGAGUGUUCGGGUGGAAAACCCUUGUGCGUAAUGAAAGUGAAAGUUGGGAACCUCCGCAAGGGGGUGCACCGACGCCCGGCCCUGACGUUCUCUGACGGUGCUGCGGUAGAGCAAGUAUGCUGGGACCCGAAAGAUGGUGAACUAUGCCUGACUUGCGCGAAGCCA
Molecule: ribosomal RNA, 810 nt
Filed under: Fomitiporia sp.
Lineage: Eukaryota; Fungi; Basidiomycota; Agaricomycetes; Hymenochaetales; Hymenochaetaceae
Description: LSU rRNA
Rfam family: Eukaryotic large subunit ribosomal RNA
Source: RNAcentral